GGGUCUCCAUGGAGGGAGGGGAGGGGAGGUAGCAAUUGGUCCCAACGUGGUAGUGGGUUUCAUUGGAUGGCGCGGGAAGCCUUCAGGAACUGGUCGACUAGCUGCCCUGGGCUCGGUGCACACUACAGGCCCAUGUUUACGUGUGCUGGGUUUCGCUUCGACAGAUUCUGGCAUUAUGCUGAUAUGGAUAUUUAGAAUCAAAAUCAAAGAUUUAUGUUAGAAUAAGGAUCCAUAUCUAAUAAAGCUAGGUGUACCUAUCCAUAGUUUUUCCAUACACAUCCGUUCUUUCCAUUAAGAUUAAAAAAACAAAGUACUUUAGAAAUGCC
RNAcentral lists this long non-coding RNA (326 nucleotides) under Setaria viridis. RNAcentral describes it as "long non-coding RNA (SVIR_LNC001427)". Lineage: Eukaryota; Viridiplantae; Streptophyta; Magnoliopsida; Poales; Poaceae. The record is from RNAcentral.